This 445-nucleotide ribosomal RNA is filed under the name uncultured bacterium. Its description in RNAcentral is "partial 16S ribosomal RNA". It matches the Rfam family "Bacterial small subunit ribosomal RNA", at positions 354 to 796 of the family's 1533-position model. The record is from RNAcentral.
GUGAGGAAUAUUGGUCAAUGGACGGAAGUCUGAACCAGCCAUGCCGCGUGCAGGAAUAAGGUCCUAUGGAUUGUAAACUGCUUUUAUUCGGGAAUAAACCUCUUUACGUGUAGGGAGCUGAAGGUACCGAAGGAAUAAGCACCGGCUAACUCCGUGCCAGCAGCCACGGUAAUACGGAGGGUGCAAGCGUUAUCCGGAAUCAUUGGGUUUAAAGGGUCCGCAGGCGGGCUAUCAAGUCAGAGGUGAAAUCCCACAGCUUAACUGUGGAACUGCCUUUGAAACUGAUGGUCUUGAAUUAAGUGGGCGUUGGCGGAAUAUGACAUGUAGCGGUGAAAUGCAUAGAUAUGUCAUGGAACACCGAAAGCGAAGGCAGCUAACGAUACUUAUAUUGACGCUCAUGGACGAAAGCGUGGGUAGCGAACAGGAUUAGAAACCCUUGUAGUCC